GGGGCUGUCCUGGUUUCGACGUGGGUUCGGGAUCAGUGUGGUGCAUGUCGAGCUUGAGUGAUGCUCGUAAAUCUCCAUUCAAAAAAACUAACUGCAAACGACGAACGUUUCGCACUCGCCGCUUAAAUCCGGUGAGCCUUGCAACAGCACGCUGAUGGGCUGGGCAAAGGGGUAGCAAUACCUCUCGGCUGCAAGGGAAUUCACAUCAGCUGGCUUGGUACCGGGCACCUUGGUAUUUGGCAAGAUUCAAGGGUGCUGGCCUUGUUUGAAGCGUGUGUCUGCGCGGCAUACAGGGCGAGAUUAAAAAUCAGAACACUAAACAUGUAGAUCUGCCUGACGAAGGCUUGCGGACGCGGGUUCAAUUCCCGCCAGCUCCACCA
Molecule: transfer-messenger RNA, 380 nt
Filed under: Comamonas aquatica
Lineage: Bacteria; Pseudomonadati; Pseudomonadota; Betaproteobacteria; Burkholderiales; Comamonadaceae
Rfam family: transfer-messenger RNA
About the family: Bacterial tmRNA, also known as 10Sa RNA or SsrA, is named for its dual tRNA and mRNA-like properties. Its role is to liberate the mRNA from a stalled ribosome.
Source: RNAcentral